UACGUAGGUCCCGAGCGUUGUCCGGAUUUAUUGGGUUUAAAGGGUCCGUAGGCGGAUCUGUAAGUCAGUGGUGAAAUCUCACAGCUUAACUGUGAAACUGCCAUUGAUACUGCAGGUCUUGAGUAAAGUAGAAGUGGCUGGAAUAAGUAGUGUAGCGGUGAAAUGCAUAGAUAUUACUUAGAACACCAAUUGCGAAGGCAGGUCACUAUGUUUUAACUGACGCUGAUGGACGAAAGCGUGGGGAGCGAACAGG
Molecule: ribosomal RNA, 253 nt
Filed under: uncultured microorganism
Description: partial 16S ribosomal RNA
Rfam family: Bacterial small subunit ribosomal RNA
Source: RNAcentral